RNAcentral lists this ribosomal RNA (1470 nucleotides) under metagenome. RNAcentral describes it as "bacterial SSU rRNA". It matches the Rfam family "Bacterial small subunit ribosomal RNA". The record is from RNAcentral.
AGAGUUUGAUCCUGGCUCAGGACGAACGCUGGCGGCACGCUUAACACAUGCAAGUCGAACGAGAGAAGAGGAGCUUGUUUUUCUGAUCUAGUGGCGGACGGGUGAGUAACACGUGAGCAAUCUGCCUUUCAGAGGGGGAUACCGAUUGGAAACGAUCGUUAAUACCGCAUAACAUAAUUGAACCGCAUGAUUUGAUUAUCAAAGAUUUAUCGCUGAAAGAUGAGCUCGCGUCUGAUUAGCUAGUUGGUAAGGUAACGGCUUACCAAGGCGACGAUCAGUAGCCGGACUGAGAGGUUGAUCGGCCACAUUGGGACUGAGACACGGCCCAGACUCCUACGGGAGGCAGCAGUGGGGAAUAUUGCACAAUGGAGGAAACUCUGAUGCAGCGAUGCCGCGUGAGGGAAGAAGGUUUUAGGAUUGUAAACCUCUGUCUUCAGGGACGAAAAAAGACGGUACCUGAGGAGGAAGCUCCGGCUAACUACGUGCCAGCAGCCGCGGUAAUACGUAGGGAGCGAGCGUUGUCCGGAAUUACUGGGUGUAAAGGGAGCGUAGGCGGGAUCGCAAGUCAGAUGUGAAAACUAUGGGCUUAACCCAUAAACUGCAUUUGAAACUGUGGUUCUUGAGUGAAGUAGAGGUAAGCGGAAUUCCUAGUGUAGCGGUGAAAUGCGUAGAUAUUAGGAGGAACAUCAGUGGCGAAGGCGGCUUACUGGGCUUUAACUGACGCUGAGGCUCGAAAGCGUGGGGAGCAAACAGGAUUAGAUACCCUGGUAGUCCACGCCGUAAACGAUGAUUACUAGGUGUGGGGGGACUGACCCCUUCCGUGCCGCAGCAAACGCAAUAAGUAAUCCACCUGGGGAGUACGACCGCAAGGUUGAAACUCAAAGGAAUUGACGGGGGCCCGCACAAGCAGUGGAGUAUGUGGAUUAAUUCGAAGCAACGCGAAGAACCUUACCAGGUCUUGACAUCGUAUGCAUAGCUCAGAGAUGAGUGAAAUCUCUUCGGAGACAUAUAGACAGGUGGUGCAUGGUUGUCGUCAGCUCGUGUCGUGAGAUGUUGGGUUAAGUCCCGCAACGAGCGCAACCCUUACUGUUAGUUGCUACGCAAGAGCACUCUAGCAGGACUGCCGUUGACAAAACGGAGGAAGGUGGGGAUGACGUCAAAUCAUCAUGCCCCUUAUGACCUGGGCCUCACACGUACUACAAUGGCUGUCAACAGAGGGAAGCAAAGCCGCGAGGUGGAGCGAACCCCUAAAAGCAGUCUUAGUUCGGAUUGUAGGCUGCAACCCGCCUACAUGAAGUCGGAAUUGCUAGUAAUCGCAGAUCAGCAUGCUGCGGUGAAUACGUUCCCGGGCCUUGUACACACCGCCCGUCACGCCAUGGGAGUCGGUAACACCCGAAGCCUGUAGUCUAACCGCAAGGAGGACGCAGUCGAAGGUGGGAUUGAUGACUGGGGUGAAGUCGGAACAAGGUA